RNAcentral lists this transfer RNA (93 nucleotides) under Rhizoctonia solani. RNAcentral's name for it is "tRNA-Ile". It matches the Rfam family "tRNA". Rfam says of the family: Transfer RNA (tRNA) molecules are approximately 80 nucleotides in length. Their secondary structure includes four short double-helical elements and three loops (D, anti-codon, and T loops). The record is from RNAcentral. Lineage: Eukaryota; Fungi; Basidiomycota; Agaricomycetes; Cantharellales; Ceratobasidiaceae.
GGUUGGCUAGCUCAGUUGGUUAGAGCGUCGAGCUAAUAUAUCUGCAAAGAUUGUGUAACUCGAAGGUCGUGGGUUCGACCCCCCCGCUGACCA